Molecule: long non-coding RNA, 338 nt
Filed under: Nicotiana benthamiana
Lineage: Eukaryota; Viridiplantae; Streptophyta; Magnoliopsida; Solanales; Solanaceae
Description: long non-coding RNA (NBEN_LNC038896)
Source: RNAcentral
UCUGGGAUAGUGAUCGAUCGGUGUUUCGCUUCGGGGAUUUGGAAAUGACUCCUUUACUGGAAGAAAUAGGGGGUCGAGCUGGUAUCCCUUGGGAGACUCCAGGUAUGCUUAUGCCGGAAAACCGCAAAAGUAGAGGCUUUCUUAAAAUGAUGGGACUCAAGAAAAAUCCUGACCUAGCUUGUCUGAAGGACAGAGUUUAGCUGGUAUCCCUUGGGAGACUCUGGAUCUGCUUAUGUCAAAAAAUCGCAAAUGUAGAGGCUUCCAUAAGAUGAUGGGACUCAACAAAAAUACCAACCUAGCUUGUCUCAAGGACUCCUACAUACUAUUUGAUUUCUUGU